UACGUAGGGGGCGAGCGUUAUCCGGAAUACUGGGCGUAAAGCGCACGCAGGCGGUUCGCCAAGUUUGGAGUGACAGUUGUCGGCUCAACCGACAAAGGACUUCAAAAACUGGUGAACUUGAGGACGAGAGAGGAACAUGGAACUCCAGGUGUAGUAGUGAAAUGCGUAGAUAUCUGGAAGAACACCAAUGGCGAAGGCAAUGUUCUGGCUCGUUUCUGACGCUCAGGUGCGAAAGCCAGGGGAGCGAACGGG
This 252-nucleotide ribosomal RNA is filed under the name uncultured bacterium. RNAcentral describes it as "partial 16S ribosomal RNA". It matches the Rfam family "Bacterial small subunit ribosomal RNA", at positions 524 to 776 of the family's 1533-position model. The record is from RNAcentral.